Molecule: ribosomal RNA, 1252 nt
Filed under: metagenome
Description: bacterial SSU rRNA
Rfam family: Bacterial small subunit ribosomal RNA
Source: RNAcentral
AGCUAGUUGGUGAGGUAACGGCCCACCAAGGCAACGAUCGGUAGCCGGACUGAGAGGUUGAACGGCCACAUUGGGACUGAGACACGGCCCAGACUCCUACGGGAGGCAGCAGUGGGGAAUAUUGCACAAUGGGGGAAACCCUGAUGCAGCGACGCCGCGUGGAGGAAGAAGGUCUUCGGAUUGUAAACUCCUGUUGUUGAGGAAGAUAAUGACGGUACUCAACAAGGAAGUGACGGCUAACUACGUGCCAGCAGCCGCGGUAAAACGUAGGUCACAAGCGUUGUCCGGAAUUACUGGGUGUAAAGGGAGCGCAGGCGGGCGAUCAAGUUGGAAGUGAAAUCCAUGGGCUCAACCCAUGAACUGCUUUCAAAACUGAUUGUCUUGAGUAGUGCAGAGGUAGGCGGAAUUCCCGGUGUAGCGGUGGAAUGCGUAGAUAUCGGGAGGAACACCAGUGGCGAAGGCGGCCUACUGGGCACCAACUGACGCUGAGGCUCGAAAGUGUGGGUAGCAAACAGGAUUAGAUACCCUGGUAGUCCACACCGUAAACGAUGAUUACUAGGUGUUGGAGGAUUGACCCCUUCAGUGCCGCAGUUAACACAAUAAGUAAUCCACCUGGGGAGUACGACCGCAAGGUUGAAACUCAAAGGAAUUGACGGGGGCCCGCACAAGCAGUGGAGUAUGUGGUUUAAUUCGACGCAACGCGAAGAACCUUACCAAGUCUUGACAUCCUGCGACGGACAUAGAAAUAUGUUUUUCCUUCGGGACGCAGAGACAGGUGGUGCAUGGUUGUCGUCAGCUCGUGUCGUGAGAUGUUGGGUUAAGUCCCGCAACGAGCGCAACCCUUAUGGUCAGUUACUACGCAAGAGGACUCUGGCCAGACUGCCGUUGACAAAACGGAGGAAGGUGGGGAUGACGUCAAAUCAUCAUGCCCUUUAUGACUUGGGCUACACACGUACUACAAUGGCGUUAAACAAAGAGAAGCAAGACCGCGAGGUGGAGCAAAACUCAGAAACAACGUCCCAGUUCGGACUGCAGGCUGCAACUCGCCUGCACGAAGUCGGAAUUGCUAGUAAUCGCAGAUCAGCAUGCUGCGGUGAAUACGUUCCCGGGCCUUGUACACACCGCCCGUCACACCAUGAGAGCCGGGGGGACCCGAAGUCGGUAGUCUAACCGCAAGGAGGACGCCGCCGAAGGUAACACUGGUGAUUGGGGUGAAGUCGUAACAAGGUAGCCGUAGGAGAACCUGCGGCUG